This 483-nucleotide ribosomal RNA is filed under the name uncultured bacterium. RNAcentral's name for it is "partial 16S ribosomal RNA". It matches the Rfam family "Bacterial small subunit ribosomal RNA", at positions 28 to 523 of the family's 1533-position model. The record is from RNAcentral.
GACGAACGCUGGCGGCGUGCUUAACACAUGCAAGUCGAACGAUGAAGCUGGAGCUUGCUCCGGUGGAUUAGUGGCGAACGGGUGAGUAACACGUGAGCAAUCUGCCCUAGACUCUGGGAUAACUGCGGGAAACUGUAGCUAAUACCGGAUAUGAGGCUUGGAGGCAUCUCCAGGUCUGGAAAGAAUUUCGGUCAAGGAUGAGCUCGCGGCCUAUCAGCUAGUUGGUGAGGUAAUGGCUCACCAAGGCGACGACGGGUAGCCGGCCUGAGAGGGGGACCGGCCACACUGGGACUGAGACACGGCCCAGACUCCUACGGGAGGCAGCAGUGGGGAAUAUUGCACAAUGGGCGAAAGCCUGAUGCAGCAACGCCGCGUGAGGGAUGAAGGCCUUCGGGUUGUAAACCUCUUUUAGCAGGGAAGAAGCGAAAGUGACGGUACCUGCAGAAAAAGCACCGGCUAACUACGUGCCAGCAGCCGCCGCGG